GAUGAACGCUGGCGGCGUGCCUAAUACAUGCAAGUCGAGCGAACGGACGAGAAGCUUGCUUCUCUGAUGUUAGCGGCGGACGGGUGAGUAACACGUGGAUAACCUACCUAUAAGACUGGGAUAACUUCGGGAAACCGGAGCUAAUACCGGAUGAUAUUUUGAACCGCAUGGUUCAAAAGUGAAAGACGGUCUUGCUGUCACUUAUAGAUGGAUCCGCGCUGCAUUAGCUAGUUGGUAAGGUAACGGCUUACCAAGGCAACGAUACAUAGCCGACCUGAGAGGGGGAUCGGCCACACUGGAACUGAGACACGGUCCAGACUCCUACGGGAGGCAGCAGUAGGGAAUCUUCCGCAAUUGGCGAAAGCCUGACGGAGCAACGCCGCGUGAGUGAUGAAGGUCUUCGGAUCGUAAAACUCUGUUAUUAGGGAAGAACAUAUGUGUAAGUAACUGUGCACAUCUUGACGGUACCUAAUCAGAAAGCCACGGCUAACUACGUG
Molecule: ribosomal RNA, 497 nt
Filed under: uncultured bacterium
Lineage: Bacteria
Description: partial 16S ribosomal RNA
Rfam family: Bacterial small subunit ribosomal RNA
Source: RNAcentral